AAGUCGUAACAAGGUUUCCGUAGGUGAACCUGCGGAAGGAUCAUUAUCACAAAUGAUUUUAACUCUCUUAAUCCAGAGUUAACCUCUUCUUAAACCAAUCUAAUUAAAAUGUGAAAUCGUUUUAUUUUUUUUUUAAGACUUGCUACUUGGAAACAAGUUUCAGCCUUAAAAAAAUUAUUAACCAAUUGAACCCUUUUCUAAUUUAAUGUUAUUUUAUUUAUUUAGUUCUGAAAUCUAUUAUAUAUUCAAUAUUGUAAUAAAUAUUGAACAUGUAAUAAGUUACAUUACGAAACAAUUUAAAUAAAACAACUCUUAGCAACGGAUAUCUUGGUUCUC
RNAcentral lists this unclassified non-coding RNA (336 nucleotides) under fungal sp. Its description in RNAcentral is "partial internal transcribed spacer region". The stretch from base 1 to 46 matches the Rfam family "Eukaryotic small subunit ribosomal RNA", at positions 1786 to 1831 of the family's 1831-position model. The record is from RNAcentral. Lineage: Eukaryota; Fungi.